UACGUAGGUGGCAAGCGUUGUCCGGAUUUACUGGGCGUAAAGCGCGCGCAGGCGGAUUGGUCAGUCCGGGGUGAAAUCUCACGGCUCAACUGUGAGCGGUCCCCGGAUACUGCCAGUCUCGAGGUGUCUAGAGGAGAGCGGAAUUCCCGGUGUAGUGGUGGAAUGCGUAGAUAUCGGGAAGAACACCAGUGGCGAAAGCUACUUGCUAUUUUUAUCCUGACACUAAGAUACGAAAGCAUGGGGAUCAAACAGG
This 253-nucleotide ribosomal RNA is filed under the name uncultured bacterium. RNAcentral describes it as "partial 16S ribosomal RNA". It matches the Rfam family "Bacterial small subunit ribosomal RNA", at positions 524 to 776 of the family's 1533-position model. The record is from RNAcentral.